GUUGGUUACCGUGCAUCGUAAUCUUCGUCGCGAAUUUAUUUUUCAUUAACGAAGUGAAUUUAUACAGUGCGUGGUAUGUCGAACGUUGACAGUUCAUGUUUUAUGGUGUCCAUAAAACGUGAGAAGACACAGAUUGUUUGUUACUCUUCUCGGAUGUAAGAAAACAUCUUACGUUACACUACGAAGGGUGCGAUCUUCUUCAUCAUCAUCAUCAUCAUCAUCAUUUGGAACGGAACAUCUGGUUGUCCUUUGUGGAUUCUCUUCGUUGGAUAUUCAUGACUUUGUUUUUUACAGACCGUAGAGGAGGAAAGACACGCACAAACGAGAGAAGGAGCCAAGGGAGCCAGCCAGCCGAGCUAGCGAGUGAAUCAAAUCGCGGUGUGUGCUUGGCAAACGACGCCGAGCGUCGCGACGCUCUUCUUUCCUCGACGAGAAAGGAACGCAAAAACUUUGACGGCGGAGCACAGUCGUCAUUAUAAACGGUAAGCGAAAGGUUGUCAGCGACACCAGUAAUCUCCUGGUAAUCAUGACAAAUUACGGUCGAAGUUAUGGACCACGUUCUAUGGCUUGCCAUGUUACGGUCCUAUAGUCCUGAGAAUGAACGAGGGCCAGGGUGCCAGGUGGGGCGUGCCCGCCCCAUGCUGCGAGCCAAACAAUUAUGUAACACCAUGGAACACACCGCGAGCACAGCAGGAAACCGAACCGGAGGUUCAUAUACUUAUUUACAAUCCCAUAAGCGAAGGAUCGAAUGUAAAUACAGGCCAAAUCUUUGGUAACAAGAUCGAGAUUAGAUCGAUCGAUCGAUUCCAGUCAUUGUCGUGACUGGGCAUAGUUUGGUAAGAAAAUCUUAUCAAUGUGUUUGAUUUCCCGAAGUAUUCAUCACCCUGCGUAUGGAUUUAUCAUUACAGAAAGCAGUUAUAUAGCGUGUUAGACGUUCGGAAGGCGCUGUGUCACUGCGCUGAUGUUUAGCCAAGAUAUUUGGCCUCGCAAAUAUUUGGAGAUUGUCUACAGCUUCUAACCACUGCGCUCCACUCUAUCAGCUCUUGUUACAUUUAAUUAAUGCUAUGUACAUUUGUAGUAUCCAUUCGAUGCUCCUCGAUAUCGAGUCUUUAUUCGUUUGUUUCUGGAUUGUCCUGUUUUUCUUUACUUUUAUUUUCUCUUCCUUUUCUUUUUUUUUCUCGUUCUAUCUUUCCUUACUUUCCUUCUUCUUUCUUUUCUCUUUCUCAUUUCUCUCGUGAUAAUAACGAUUCGAUCAAAAAAGGUGUAUGAUUUAUUUAUAUCGAAGGACCACAAAGUGUAAGCUCAUAAACCACGAUCCACCCACACUAAUUUCCGCAAGAAUAAAAGACACCAUAAAAAAGGAAACCGCAUGUACCUUCGAGAAACGUGACCCGAACCGACCCCAAUCGACCUAACCGAUUAUUAGGUUCGUCGUUUAUUUUCUUCUUCCUGCGUCCUUUGCGGUGACGUGCCCUAAUAAGAGCGAAUCGAUGCAAGAUUAAUAUAGUAAUCGACUGAAUGU
Molecule: long non-coding RNA, 1522 nt
Organism: Vespula pensylvanica (western yellowjacket)
Lineage: Eukaryota; Metazoa; Arthropoda; Insecta; Hymenoptera; Vespidae
Exons: 5
Source: RefSeq, a predicted model, not a curated record